AACGAACGCUGGCGGCGCGCUUAACACAUGCAAGUCGAACGAGAAGGCGUAGCAAUACGCUUGUACAGUGGCGAACGGGUGAGGAAUACAUGGGUAACCUACCCUCGAGUGGGGGAUAACCCGCCGAAAGGCGGGCUAAUACCGCGUACGCUUCCGAUCUUGCGGGAUCGGAAGGAAAGCUGUCCCUUGGGGAUGGCGCUCAAGGAUGGGCUCAUGUCCUAUCAGCUUGNGGUAGGGUAACGGCCUACCAAGGCAUCGACGGGUAGCUGGUCUGAGAGGACGAUCAGCCACACUGGCACUGCGACACGGGCCAGACUCCUACGGGAGGCAGCAGUGAGGAAUAUUGCGCAAUGGGCGAAAGCCUGACGCAGCGACGCCGCGUGGGGGAUGAAGGUCUUCGGA
RNAcentral lists this ribosomal RNA (402 nucleotides) under uncultured bacterium. Its description in RNAcentral is "bacterial SSU rRNA". It matches the Rfam family "Bacterial small subunit ribosomal RNA", at positions 29 to 422 of the family's 1533-position model. The record is from RNAcentral.